This is a long non-coding RNA of Xenia sp. Carnegie-2017, 85 nucleotides long. RefSeq lists it as uncharacterized. The transcript has 4 exons. Lineage: Eukaryota; Metazoa; Cnidaria; Anthozoa; Malacalcyonacea; Xeniidae. The record is from RefSeq and is a predicted model, not a curated record.
AACGCAGACUACAUGGGGUACUAUCUGAAUACACUUUGCGCAAUUUCAAAAAUUUAAAUUUCACUUUGUAAAGAAAUACAUUGCG